GCCCUUUUCUCAUAUCCCACAAAGGAGAACUUGAUCAUUUUUUUUCAAAGGCAAGAUUCAUAAGUUAGGUACGACUCUGAAUCAAAAGAGCCAAGGAUCCUAUCUAUUUCUAGUUUGUUUAUCCUGUCUUCUUCAAUAUAGUCUAGUCUAUGAUGCCAUAAGUACUUUUGAUUAAUUUCAUCUUUGGAUCUCUUUUGACCUACAGCACUCA
This 211-nucleotide long non-coding RNA is filed under the name Elaeis guineensis (African oil palm). Its description in RNAcentral is "long non-coding RNA (EGUI_LNC039381)". The record is from RNAcentral. Lineage: Eukaryota; Viridiplantae; Streptophyta; Magnoliopsida; Arecales; Arecaceae.